RNA transcript from Chenopodium quinoa (quinoa), 4371 nucleotides. It is a transcript of the gene named AP-3 complex subunit delta-like, with no coding region annotated. The record is from RefSeq and is a predicted model, not a curated record. NCBI's taxonomy places the organism in Eukaryota, Viridiplantae, Streptophyta, Magnoliopsida, Caryophyllales, Amaranthaceae. The transcript has 2 exons.
UUUGAGUGAUACAUUUACAUAAUAGUUUCAAGAUGAUAUAAUCACUUUUGUAAUAAUAUAAUCACAUUUCGUAUGAUAUAAUCACAUUCGUAUGCUAUACUAGAAGGUUGGAUCUACAAUAAGUUAUUGUAGACCGGGUCUAUUCUAGUCUUAAUAAUGAAAAUAUACAUAAAUGAUAAUCCAAAAAUAUUUUACAUGAACAUAAGUAUAUUUUUAAUAUAUUGGUAAAAAAAAGAAAAAAAAAAUGAAUUUACUAUUUAGUAUUUACCCUUUUGCUACGGAUUUUAUAAAGAGAUAAAAAAAAUUAAUUAAAAAAAAAAAUCGUGUAAACCUCUUGCAUAAUUUCGCUGUAGAGAAAUCAGAUUUAGGUCUCAAAACAUUGGCUUUCUGCACUGAUUGAAUUCCUAUCAUCAUAAUUCACAAUCAUCAUCUUCUUCCUCAAUUCGGACAAUCAAUACCAUUCACAAACCCCCUUUUCCUUCAUUUCUACCCCAAAAAAAACACCUCAAAUUCUUCUCCUAAAACCUUCAACAGUCAAUCUUGGAUUCCCCACAAUUCUGAAAUACCCCAUCAAAUCAAAAUCAUAUAUAUAUAAAAAAAAACUCAAUCCAAUUCAUCAAUGGCGAAUUCAUCUAUAAUGGACUCAUUCUUUCAACGCUCAAUAGAUGAUUUAAUCAAAGGAAUUCGACUUCAUUCCCCAGAAUCAUCAACACCCCUUUCAUCUUUCCUCUCAAAAGCUAUUGAAGAAAUUCGUCGCGAAAUAAAAUCAACAGACCCACAAAUGAAAUCAACUGCACUUCUCAAAUUAACUUAUCUUCAUUCAAUUUAUGGGUUUGAAAUUUCUUGGGCUGCUUUUCAUGUAGUAGAAGUAAUCAGUUACCCUCAAUUCAAUUUCAAAAGAAUUGGGUAUUUAGCUGCUUCUGCUACUUUCAAUGAAUCUACUGAAGUUCUUCUUCUUGUUACGAAUCAAUUCAGGAAAGAUCUUUCCAGUUCUAAUGAUUUUGAGGUCAGUCUUGCUCUUCAAUGUUUAUCAAUUAUUGGUACGCCUGAUUUGUGCCGUGAUUUGUGCAAUGAUUUGUUUACAUUGUUGUCUAGUACUAGACCUUAUGUUAAAAAGAAGGCGAUUGCUGUAUUUCUGAGGGUUUUUAACAAAUACCCAGAUGCUGUUAGAGUGUGUUUUAAGAGAUUAGUUGAUAAUUUGGAGAGUACUGAUCCUCAGGCUGUUUCGGCCGCUGUUGGGGUGUUUUGUGAGCUUAGUUUACGAGACACGAAAACGUAUUUGCCAUUAGCGCCCGAGUUCUAUCGAAUUUUGCUUGAUUGUAAGAAUAAUUGGGUGUUGAUCAAGGUGUUGAAGAUGUUUGCUAAGUUGGCAUUGUUAGAGCCUAGGUUAGGGAAGAAGAUUGUUGGUCCAAUUUGUGAGAUUAUGCAGCGGUCCAUGGCGAAAUCAUUGGUGUUUGAGUGUAUAAGAACUGUUGUGAGUAGCUUGAGUGAUCAUGAGUCUGCUGUUAAGCUUGCUAGUGUGAAGAUUAAGGAGUUUUUGAGUGAGGAUGAUCCUAAUUUGAAAUAUCUCGGGUUACAGGCGCUUUCUGAUUUAGCUACGAAGCACUUGUGGGCUGUGUUGGAGAAUAAGGAUGUUGUGCUUAAGUCUCUUAGUGAUGUCGAUUCUAAUAUCAAGCUAACUUCGUUGCGGCUUCUCAUGUCUAUGGUGUCAGAGGAUAAUGUGGCUGAGAUUACCAAGGUUUUGGUUAAUUAUGCCCUGAAGUCUGACCCUGAAUUCUGUAAUGAGAUCCUCAGAUCGAUACUGGUCACUUGCUCUGGGAAUUAUUAUGAGAUUGUUUUUGAUUUCGAUUGGUAUGUAUCACUUCUUGGGGAAAUGGCUAGGGUUCCACAUUGUCAAUCAGGGGAGGAAAUUGAGAACCAACUUGUUGAUAUUGGUAUGAGAGUAAAGGAUGCCAGACCUGAGCUAGUCAAGGUUGGCCGGGACCUUUUAGUUGAUCCUGCAUUACUUGGUAAUCCUUUCUUACAUGGGAUACUAUCUGCUGCCGCGUGGGUUUCUGGUGAGUAUGUUGAGUUUUCAAGUAACCCAUAUGAACUGAUGGAGGCUUUGUUGCAGCCACGUACUAGUUUACUGCCAUCGUUAGUAAGAUCUGUCUAUAUUCAGUCCACAUUUAAGGUUUUAGUGUUUUGCCUUCAGUCUUAUCUCUGGCAGCAAGAUGUAGUGGAUGCUUCUUCCGUUGCUGAUGAUAUGGCAUCUUUAAGCUUUGAAUCUAAGUCUGGAUUGAAAUGCCUUGACAGCCAAGAUAAGUCAACACAUGAAGCUGUUGCAAAUUCUAAGCAAAUGAUGCCUGAGUCUGCAGUCGAAGAAUCUUACUCUUGGUCAUUUGGUGACUACGGCAUUGAAGGUGCCGUGCAAGAGAAACCCACUUUAUCGUUGCCCGAGAGAAAAACUUCAUCCCAAGAUGCAGUUGUUAAGCUGCUAAAUAUGACUGAAACAGCUCUAGGACCAUUAUUAUGGAGCGAUGAAGUGGAAAUACAAGAAAGGGCACGGAAUAUUCUUGGAGUUGUGCAUUUAGUAAAGGAAGACGUUCUUCAUUGUUCUGGACAUCAUGUUGACAAAUCAGGGAAGAAAGACUUUGAAGUUUCUGAAAUCGCUAAUCUCUUUGAUGAUCUUUUUGUUGAAGAGCUUGGUCCAAUCUCAGUAACUGCUCAAGCAAGAAUUCCUGUACCUGAUGAUCUUACUCUUAAAGAUAAUCUCACUGAUUUGGACUUGAUUUAUAGCGACAUUCAGCUAAAUCCACCAUCUACAUUUAGCCUUGGAACUUCUCGUUCCAGUGAGAAAGAUGAUUAUUUUCACUCUAAUGACCAAGGUGCAGAAGAUGUAGAUUCGUCAACAAUAUCUGGAUCUCUGCUUGCACAGCACCGCAAAAGACAUGGAUUAUAUUAUCUUUCUUCAGAAAAGGAUGACACAGGUUCUAAUGAUUACCCUCCCGCAAUUGAAAGUAAAAAUCUGGACAAGAACGGUAAUGAAGUGAAUGAUCUCGUGAAAUUGACUGACCAAUCACUUAAACUUAAGAAAAAACCAAGCCAUGCUAAGCCUAGGCCAGUGGUUGUCAAACUGGAUGAGGGUGAAAAUUUCAUACCUACAAAAAAGUUGGAGAUUACAGAGGAUUUGCUUUCUGGUGCAAUUAGGGAUGUUCUCUUAGGAAGUGAAGAAGUGUCUACUUCAUCAAAAUAUAGUGAAGCUGAUAAGCAACUUGUCGAAAGAAAAGGAAAGGAAACACUUGUCAUUGACGGUCAUCCUAAUCUGAGAGAACAGUCUGUUGCUGUAACCUCUGUGGUUGGGAAUUCGAGUUCUGGAAGAAGCAAACAUAAAAAUCAUAGUAAAGAGAGACGACACCAUAGCCAAGGUGAGAGUGAAGGGAAAGAAAGAAGUCAAAAGGAAAAGAAAAAGAGCAGUCGUCAUCGUCAUAGCAGACACAAAGAAGUAGAGAAACAGGGCAGCUCAAACAAUGGCUCCAUACAAACACAACAAAUCCCUGACUAUUUGCUAUAGCAUGAAACUUUGGAAUGAUAUUUGUGAAUCUAUACCUUGUUUUUUUUUUCUUUUCAGAAACGAACAAGUUUUCUUCAAUCUCCUGGAAUAUUGAGUCUAUCCAUCUCUGUUUGCGGGGUCAAAGAUUUUGCUGUGCUUGUUCAGCCGGAUAUUUCCUCUUACUCCGUAUUAAUUUUAACAUUUUCUCAAUUCAGAAAUUUCAUACUCACUCUGUAUCUUAUAUGUAUACGUUGACACAUUUUGACCAUAAAACUAUGUACAUAAGUUAAUUUGACUUCCUUUAAUGACUUAUACUUUAAGAAAUAACAUAUUCAUGUUGAGUCUCGUCAGAGUUGUCUAAAUGUACCUUUUUUCAAGUAUGAGUAUCAUUUUUUUUAAAAAAAUACCUAUUAAUUUUGGAGACACAUGUUAACUAAUGUGAAACGGAAAAAGUUUUAAUUACUCCCCGUCCCUUAAUUGAGAGCAUCUAUUGCUUUCUCGGGUGCCCAAGCCUAGUUCUAUUUAAAUAUUUUACUUUUUGAAAAUAAUCCCCUCUUUUUGAUGAGUUGUUAUCUUUAUUUUGUACAAAUGAUGAUUUUUUCUUCAAUUAACACUUUUUCUCGUCCACUCUAGUAAUUCCUAACCAUUUUUUCAGUCUAAUCCCACGUGCCAUUAUGCCAACCUGUACUCCCAAUCAACUUUUUAAAUUUCUUUUAAAAAAAAUCCAAAUAGACUCUUAAUUAAGAGACAGAGAGAGUCCUAUGUAUCAUUUACGGCAAUGUGUUUUCUUCUAUAUCUUUUCCCCAUCACACAUGGUACCUCUUUUUAAGAAAUCGAGA